This 408-nucleotide ribosomal RNA is filed under the name uncultured eukaryote. Its description in RNAcentral is "partial 18S ribosomal RNA". It matches the Rfam family "Eukaryotic small subunit ribosomal RNA", at positions 592 to 976 of the family's 1831-position model. The record is from RNAcentral.
CAAUAGCGUAUAUUAAUGUUGUUGCAGUUAAAAAGCUCGUAGUUGGAUUUCGAAUGGGAGCGGUGGGUCGGGUCCGCAAGGGCUCGUUACCUGUUUCGUCUCCGGUUCUUUUUCGGGAUUUGUUUCUGGCGUGGCUGGCAUUGAGUUGUCGGUGGCGUCGGGCCCGUCGUUUACUGUGAACAAAUUAGAGUGUUCAAAGCAAGGUGUGUCUUGAAUACAUUAGCAUGGAAUAAUGAGAUAGGACUUCGGUGGUUUCGGUGAAAGCCGGAUAUUUUGUUGGUUUGCACGCCAAAGUAAUGAUUAAUAGGAGCAGUUGGGGGUAUUCGUAUUCAAUUGUCAGAGGUGAAAUUCUUGGAUUUCUAGAAGACGAACUACUGCGAAAGCAUUUACCAGGGAUGUUUUCAUUAA